This 253-nucleotide ribosomal RNA is filed under the name uncultured bacterium. RNAcentral's name for it is "partial 16S ribosomal RNA". It matches the Rfam family "Bacterial small subunit ribosomal RNA", at positions 524 to 776 of the family's 1533-position model. The record is from RNAcentral.
UACGGAGGGUGCAAGCGUUGUCCGAAUUUAUUGGGUUUAAAGGGUGCGCAGGUGGGUAUUUAAGUCUGGUUUGAAAGCAGGUGGCUCAACCAUCUGAUGUGGCUGGAAACUGGAUAUCUUGAAUGGGUUGGCGGUAGCCGGAAUGGGUCAUGUAGCGGUGAAAUGCAUAGAUAUGACCCGGAACACCGAUUGCGAAGGCAGGCUACUACGACUUGAUUGACACUGAGGCACGAGAGCAUGGGUAGCGAACAGG